CUGUGCUUAGGCAAUCACAUGGUUAAAAAACUUUGUGCUUGCAAGUCUUCCUCCCUCCUCCCCCUCCUUCUUUGUUGCUUUCUCUUGCUCUGACUGCUAUGAGUAUUGGCUACAGGGGGGUGGGGUGAAUGGGUGAAAUGCUUGUAAACUCAGUGAGGAAUGUGAGGGAAACAAGGUAUAUUUGCUGGACGAAUAACCUAGUUAGGAACUUUGUGUAAUCUUGUAUAUGUUGUUAAGUAAGAGGUUAUUGGCAUGUUGGAAUAAGGAAAGUUAGAUUUUGUUGGAACAAAUGAAUUGUGGAAUUUAUAAAUGAUAUUGCAGAGAAAAGUAAAUUGCAGUUUGCAUAUAAUAGCAGCUAUUCAGAUGCUGUAUUGUGGCAAUCUUUAUACACACAAUGUGAAAUUGCC
Non-coding RNA from Pelobates cultripes (western spadefoot toad), 407 nucleotides. The record is from the annotation of a GenBank genome assembly. NCBI's taxonomy places the organism in Eukaryota, Metazoa, Chordata, Amphibia, Anura, Pelobatidae.